RNAcentral lists this ribosomal RNA (253 nucleotides) under uncultured bacterium. RNAcentral's name for it is "partial 16S ribosomal RNA". It matches the Rfam family "Bacterial small subunit ribosomal RNA", at positions 524 to 776 of the family's 1533-position model. The record is from RNAcentral.
UACGUAGGGCGCAAGCGUUGUCCGGAAUUAUUGGGCGUAAAGAGCUCGUAGGCGGUUUGUCGCGUCUGCUGUGAAAUCCCGAGGCUCAACCUCGGGCUUGCAGUGGGUACGGGCAGACUAGAGUGCGGUAGGGGAGAGUGGAAUUCCUGGUGUAGCGGUGGAAUGCGCAGAUAUCAGGAGGAACACCGAUGGCGAAGGCAGGUCUCUGGGCCGCAACUGACGCUGAGGAGCGAAAGCAUGGGGAGCGAACAGG